GGUUAAAAAGCUCGUAGUUGGAUUUCUGUGUUGGUGAGGCGGCCGGCCACUCGUGGUUGUAGCUAGUUAUCACCGGCGCAUCUUGUCACAAGCCACGCUGGCCCUAACUGGUUGGCGCUGGGGACUGACUCGUUUACUUUGAGAAAACUAGAGUGUUCAAAGCAGGCUAUCGCCUUGAAUAUGUUAGCAUGGAAUAAUGAUAUAGGACUUUGGUUCUAUUUUGUUGGUUGUUCGAGAACCGAAGUAAUGAUUGAUAGGGACAGUUGGGGGCAUCAGUAUUCUGAAGCGAGAGGUGAAAUUCUUGGACCUUCGGAAGACUAACAACUGCGAAAGCAUUUGCCUAGGAUGUUCUCUAUAAUCAAGAACGAAAGUUGGGGGAUCGGAGACGAUCAGAUACCGUCGUAGUCUCAACUAUAAACUAUGCCAGCUAGGGAUUGGUGGACGUUUAUUUACGACUCCAUCAGCACCUUAUGAGAAAUCAAAGCAUUUGGGUUCCGGGGGGAGUAUGGUCGCAAGGCUGAAACUUAAAGGAAUUGACGGAAGGGCACCACCAGCCGUGGAGCCUGCGGCUUAAUUUGACUCAACACGGGGAAACUUACCAGGUCCAGACAUAGUAAGGAUUGACAGAUUGAUAGCUCUU
RNAcentral lists this ribosomal RNA (640 nucleotides) under uncultured marine eukaryote. Its description in RNAcentral is "bacterial SSU rRNA". It matches the Rfam family "Eukaryotic small subunit ribosomal RNA", at positions 617 to 1259 of the family's 1831-position model. The record is from RNAcentral.